GGGGGAAUAGCUCAGCGGUAGAGCGCUCGCUUAGCAUGCGAGAAGUCUGGGGUUCGAUUCCCCAUACCUCCA
Non-coding RNA from Angiostrongylus costaricensis, 72 nucleotides. NCBI's taxonomy places the organism in Eukaryota, Metazoa, Nematoda, Chromadorea, Rhabditida, Metastrongylidae. The record is from Rfam.